Molecule: ribosomal RNA, 253 nt
Filed under: uncultured bacterium
Lineage: Bacteria
Description: partial 16S ribosomal RNA
Rfam family: Bacterial small subunit ribosomal RNA
Source: RNAcentral
UACGAAGGGUGCAACCGUUGCUCGGAAUCAUUGGGCGUAAAGCGCACGUAGGCGGCUUCGCAAGUCGGAUGUGAAAUCCCGUGGCUCAACCAUGGACGUGCAUCCGAAACUGCGAGGCUUGAGUAUGGAAGAGGGUCGCGGAAUUCCCGGUGUAGAGGUGAAAUUCGUAGAUAUCGGGAGGAACACCAGUGGCGAAGGCGGCGACCUGGGCCAAUACUGACGCUGAGGUGCGAAAGCCAGGGGAGCAAACGGG